This 156-nucleotide small RNA is filed under the name Streptoalloteichus hindustanus. RNAcentral's name for it is "c-di-AMP sequence". It matches the Rfam family "c-di-AMP riboswitch aptamer (ydaO/yuaA leader)". From Rfam's summary of the family: This family represents a conserved RNA structure found upstream of the ydaO and yuaA genes in Bacillus subtilis and related genes in other bacteria. The ydaO/yuaA element is thought to act as a genetic "off" switch for the ydaO and yuaA genes in its native state. The record is from Rfam by way of RNAcentral. Lineage: Bacteria; Bacillati; Actinomycetota; Actinomycetes; Pseudonocardiales; Pseudonocardiaceae.
CGCGAGUCACCGCCGAAUCGGCUAGUCGGGGAGCCGAACCGGGGACCCAAACCCCCAGGGGUGAAUCCGGUCCGGGCGUGUCGACCACGUCCUGCUGGUAGGGCGUGUCCGGCCCGAACCCGUCAGCUAACCCGGUAGGCGGUCGCGGAGGACGAA